UACAGAGGUCUCAAGCGUUGUUCGGAUUCAUUGGGCGUAAAGGGUGCGUAGGCGGCGCGGUAAGUCGGGUGUGAAAUCUUGGAGCUUAACUCCGAAACUGCAUUCGAUACUGCCGUGCUUGAGGACUGGAGAGGAGACUGGAAUUUACGGUGUAGCGGUGAAAUGCGUAGAUAUUGGGAGGAACACCAGUGGCGAAGGCGGCUCACUGGACCGGAACUGACGCUGAGGCGCGAAAGCGUGGGGAGCAAACGGG
Molecule: ribosomal RNA, 253 nt
Filed under: uncultured bacterium
Lineage: Bacteria
Description: partial 16S ribosomal RNA
Rfam family: Bacterial small subunit ribosomal RNA
Source: RNAcentral